This 1492-nucleotide ribosomal RNA is filed under the name Paenibacillus alvei. Its description in RNAcentral is "bacterial SSU rRNA". It matches the Rfam family "Bacterial small subunit ribosomal RNA". The record is from RNAcentral. Lineage: Bacteria; Bacillati; Bacillota; Bacilli; Caryophanales; Paenibacillaceae.
UUAAAUUUUAUCCCGUGACUAUCCAGAUCUCCCAGUUCGAGCGCGACUUGAAUGGAGUGCUUGCACUCCUGAUGGUUAGAGGCGGACGGGUGAGUAACACGUAGGUAACCUGCCCAUAACACUGGGAUAACCCACGGAAACGUGAGCUAAUACCAGAUAGGCAUUUUCCUCGCAUGAGGGAAAUGAGAAAGGCGGAGCAAUCUGUCACUUAUGGAUGGACCUGCGGCGCAUUAGCUAGUUGGUAAGGUAACGGCUUACCAAGGCGACGAUGCGUAGCCGACCUGAGAGGGUGAUCGGCCACACUGGGACUGAGACACGGCCCAGACUCCUACGGGAGGCAGCAGUAGGGAAUCUUCCGCAAUGGACGAAAGUCUGACGGAGCAACGCCGCGUGAGUGAUGAAGGUUUUCGGAUCGUAAAGCUCUGUUGCCAGGGAAGAACGCCUAGGAGAGUAACUGCUCCUAGGGUGACGGUACCUGAGAAGAAAGCCCCGGCUAACUACGUGCCAGCAGCCGCGGUAAUACGUAGGGGGCGAGCGUUGUCCGGAAUUAUUGGGCGUAAAGCGCGCGCAGGCGGCAAUGUAAGUUGGGUGUUUAAACCUAGGGCUCAACCUUGGGUCGCAUCCAAAACUGCAUAGCUUGAGUACAGAAGAGGAAAGUGGAAUUCCACGUGUAGCGGUGAAAUGCGUAGAGAUGUGGAGGAACACCAGUGGCGAAGGCGACUUUCUGGGGCUGUAACUGACGCUGGAGGCGCGAAAGCGUUGGGGGAGGCCAAACAGUGAUUUAGAUACCCCUGGUAGUUCCCCCCCGUAAACGAUGAAUGCUAGGUGUUUAGGGGGUUUCGAUACCCCUUGGUGCCGAAGGUUAACACAUUAAGCAUUCCGCCUGGGGGAGUACGGUCGCAAGACUGAAACUCAAAGGAAUUGACGGGGACCCGCACAAGCAGUGGAGUAUGUGGUUUAAUUCGAAGCAACGCGAAGAACCUUACCAGGUCUUGACAUCUGAAUGACCGUCCUAGAGAUAGGGCUUUCCUUCGGGACAUUCAAGACAGGUGGUGCAUGGUUGUCGUCAGCUCGUAUCGAGAGAUGUUGGGUUAAGUCCCGCAACGAGCGCAACCCUUAACUUUAGUUGCCAGCAUUGAGUUGGGCACUCUAGAGUGACUGCCGGUGACAAACCGGAGGAAGGUGGGGAUGACGUCAAAUCAUCAUGCCCCUUAUGACCUGGGCUACACACGUACUACAAUGGCUGGUACAACGGGAAGCGAAGCCGCGAGGUGGAGCCAAUCCUAAAAAGCCAGUCUCAGUUCGGGGGGCAGGCUGCAACUCGCCUGCAUGAAGUCGGAAUGGCUAGUAAUCGCGGAUCAGCAUGCCGCGGUGAUUUCUUUCCCGGGUCUUGUUCACACCGUCCGUCACCCCUUUUUUUUUUACAUCUCCCGAAGUCGGUGACGUAACCGCAAGGAGCCAACCGGAGAUUUUGUUGGUCUAGUUUAAAUUA